RNAcentral lists this small RNA (973 nucleotides) under Pongo abelii (Sumatran orangutan). RNAcentral describes it as "processed transcript". The record is from RNAcentral. Lineage: Eukaryota; Metazoa; Chordata; Mammalia; Primates; Hominidae.
GAUCCCAGCCUAGCCUGGCCGGGCUGGCUGCUGGUGGGAGGCGGCGACUGAGUAAGAUGAAGAUCCAGUUUCAGACAUGAGACUCGUUGGGUGAUCAUUUCAUUGAGAUCAACCUGAAUGACCAGGUGUAAAGUGCAAGAGUAAUAUGCUAUGACUGAGUAACUAUGUUUCCGGUAGCCCCUAAACCCCAGGAUUCCAGUCAAGCAUCAGACAGACUCAUGACUGAAAAACAGCAGGAAGAAGCAGAAUGGGAAACCAUAAAUGUGCUAUUGAUGAUGCAUGGCUUGAAACCUUUGUCUCUAGUCAAAAGAACAGAUCUCAAAGAUCUCAUCAUUUUUGACAAACAGUCAUCACAAAGGAUGAGACAGAAUUUGAAAUUGUUGGUGGAAGAAACAUCACGUCAACAGAACAUGAUACAGGAGCUUAUAGAAACUAAUCAACAGCUUAGAAAUGAACUGCAGCUAGAGCAAAGCCGAGCAGCCAAUCAAGAACAACGAGCUAAUGACUUGGAACAAAUUAUGGAGAGUGUGAAAUCCAAAAUUGGUGAAUUGGAGGAUGAAUCACUAAAUAGGGCUUGCCAGCAACAGAAUAAAAUAAAAGAUCUUCAAAAGGAGCAGAAAACUUUACAGGUGAAGUGCCAGCAUUAUAAGAAAAAACGAACGGAGCAACAAGAAACUAUUGCUUCUUUGCAAAUGGAAGUCUGUAGAUUAAGAAAGGAGGAAGAAGAUCGCAUUGUCACUCAAAACAGAGUGUUUGCCUAUCUGUGCAAAAGAGUUCCUCAUACCGUCUUGGAUAGACAGUUGCUUUGUCUAAUUGAUUACUAUGAAUCUAAAAUUAGAAAAAUUCAUACACAAAGAAAGCAGCAUUUUAUCAAGUAGCUUCAGGGACCUUCUGACUUCCAAAUGAAACUGUCGUUUAGAUGGUGGAGAUUCUACAAAGAUAGGACAACUACUCAACUCGGCUGUUGUAGCAC